This 492-nucleotide ribosomal RNA is filed under the name uncultured bacterium. Its description in RNAcentral is "partial 16S ribosomal RNA". It matches the Rfam family "Bacterial small subunit ribosomal RNA", at positions 29 to 507 of the family's 1533-position model. The record is from RNAcentral.
AGUGAACGCUGGCGGUAUGCCUAACACAUGCAAGUCGAACGGCAGCACAGUAAGAGCUUGCUCUGACGGGUGGCGAGUGGCGGACGGGUGGGGAAUACAUCGGAAUCUACUUUUUCGUGGGGGAUAACGUAGGGAAACUUACGCUAAUACCGCAUACGACCUACGGGUGAAAGCAGGUGCUAUUCGGACCUUGCGCGAUUAAAUGAGCCGAUGUCGGAUUAGCUAGUUGGCGUGGUAAAGGCCCACCAAGUCGACGAUCCGUAGCUGGUCUGAGAGGAUGAUCAGCCACACUGGAACUGAGACACGGGCCAGACUCCUACGGGAGGCAGCAGUGGGGAAUAUUGGACAAUGGGCGAAAGCCUGAUCCAGCCAUACCGCGUGGGUGAAGAAGGCCUUCGGGUUGUAAAGCCCUUUUGUUGGGAAAGAAAAGCAGCAGGUUAAUACCCCGCUGUUCUGACGGUACCCAAAGAAUAAGCACCGGCUAACUUCGUG